This 928-nucleotide ribosomal RNA is filed under the name Halomonas elongata. RNAcentral describes it as "bacterial SSU rRNA". It matches the Rfam family "Bacterial small subunit ribosomal RNA", at positions 56 to 977 of the family's 1533-position model. Lineage: Bacteria; Pseudomonadati; Pseudomonadota; Gammaproteobacteria; Oceanospirillales; Halomonadaceae. The record is from RNAcentral.
UGCAGUCGAGCGGAACGAUCCUAGCUUGCUAGGAGGCGUCGAGCGGCGGACGGGUGAGUAAUGCAUAGGAAUCUGCCCGGUAGUGGGGGAUAACUUGAGGAAACUCAAGCUAAUACCGCAUACGCCCUACGGGGGAAAGCAGGGGCUCUUCGGACCUUGCGCUAUCGGAUGAGCUUAUGUCGGAUUAGCUGGUUGGUGAGGUAACGGCUCACCAAGGCGACGAUCCGUAGCUGGUCUGAGAGGAUGAUCAGCCACAUCGGGACUGAGACACGGCCCGAACUCCUACGGGAGGCAGCAGUGGGGAAUAUUGGACAAUGGGGGCAACCCUGAUCCAGCCAUGCCGCGUGUGUGAAGAAGGCCCUCGGGUUGUAAAGCACUUUCAGCGAGGAAGAAUGCUUGUCGGUUAAUACCCGGCAAGGGAGACAUCACUCGCAGAAGAAGCACCGGCUAACUCCGUGCCAGCAGCCGCGGUAAUACGGAGGGUGCGAGCGUUAAUCGGAAUUACUGGGCGUAAAGCGUGCGUAGGCGGCUUGAUAAGCCGGUUGUGAAAGCCCCGGGCUCAACCUGGGAACGGCAUCCGGAACUGUUAGGCUAGAGUGCAGGAGAGGAAGGUAGAAUUCCCGGUGUAGCGGUGAAAUGCGUAGAGAUCGGGAGGAAUACCAGUGGCGAAGGCGGCCUUCUGGACUGACACUGACGCUGAGGUACGAAAGCGUGGGUAGCAAACAGGAUUAGAUACCCUGGUAGUCCACGCCGUAAACGAUGUCGACUAGCCGUUGGGGUCCUCGAGACCUUUGUGGCGCAGUUAACGCACUAAGUCGACCGCCUGGGGAGUACGGCCGCAAGGUUAAAACUCAAAUGAAUUGACGGGGGCCCGCACAAGCGGUGGAGCAUGUGGUUUAAUUCGAUGCAACGCGAAGAACCUUACCUA